RNAcentral lists this long non-coding RNA (1959 nucleotides) under Phasianus colchicus (ring-necked pheasant). RNAcentral's name for it is "lncRNA (ENSPCLG00000006099.1)". Lineage: Eukaryota; Metazoa; Chordata; Aves; Galliformes; Phasianidae. The record is from RNAcentral.
GCACACAGCAGGGGGUUGGAACUGGAUGAGCAUUGUGCUCCUUUGCAACCCAGGCCAUUCUGUGAUUCUUUUUCUGGUCAGUAUCUUAACUUGGGAGGUCAGCCGCAUUUAAAGAACAAUGCUUAAAGCAUCCUUGCUAGUACCAAUCUAAUGACUCAAGCUAAUUCAAAAAAUAACGUUAAUUUAGCCCUCAGCAUCCCUGACCCACAUCCGUGUUUGAUAAAGAAACCAGGCUGCCUCAUUUCACCCAAGGAAUUAAAAGAACCCCGUAUGGCGUGAGAGGAAGAGCGGCGUUCAGCCCGCUGUGCUCGGGCCGUAGCGCGCUGUGCUGCUGUGCUCGUUCUGAGCCCGCGGUGCCGCUCCGCGUGCUGCUGGCUGUGCGGGUCCCGGCAGCUGCGUGGGGAGGUGACCGUGAGCUCUGGACGGACACAAACUCGUUACCGCACGUGCUGGAGAAGUUUGGGCGCUGCUCUCGGCUUCUUGCUCGCUGCCUUUCCCGGCUGUCGGAAGCGAUUUUCCGGGCCAGCUGUUCCGUGUCCCAAAGCUCCCCCUGCAGCGGUGGGUUCUCAUCCGUCUCCGUGCGAGGUGCGGCACAGCACGGCGGUGGGAAACGGGAAAUCCAGCUCCCGCUCCCCAGCUUUCCGGUUUCACAGCAGAGCGGCUCGCUUCACCUCUCGCUUUAUCUUUGUCUCCUGAAAGCGACGGCACCGCGCACGAAGGGGAGCUGCCGCCGCUCGCAGCGACGGGUCCCGCAGCUCCUGGCGCCGAGUUCGCUGCCGGCUGCCCGGCCGGGACGCGGUGCGGAGCCGCGCCGAUCUCUCACCCCCCCCCCGGCACCGCCUCAGGGCCGCCCCGCGCCUCCCAGGUGCCGCCGCCCCCCGCCCCGCUCCUCCCUCUCCCCUCCCUCCGCCCUCUCCCUUCCCUCCCGCACUCUCUCCCCGGCAGCGCUGAGGUUCGGGGCCGCCGCCGAUCCUCGCCGUUAUGGCCGCGGUGACGAGGGGCACGGCCACGCGCCGCAGCCGGCUGAAGCGCUCGGACGGCAGCACCACCUCCACCAGCUUCAUCCUGCGGCAGGUAUUUUUCCAGAUCUGGGAUGUAGCUUGUGAGACUCCUGCAAAGCAAUGGGAUUUUCCCCAACAUCUUGACUUUAGCUCACACAAUCCUGUUUUCUCAGUGGUAACAACGAGGUUACUCAGUACCAGACCUCCAGAAAGCAAAGCAAAGUUUGCUUAGCCUGAAAGCCUUGCUGAAAAUGAUCCUUUGCUGCAUGCCAACCUUGUCAGACACUCAUCCAGGUUCCUGCAACGUACACAUGGGAUGACCAAAAUGCCACACGCUUUCCUUUUAGGCUAUGCACUGUGUUGGUCAUGGCUCCAAAGCUGUUGCUUUGACCACCUUCCUCUGAGAAGAAAGUGGAUUUCUGCUCACUGCAUUUUGCUGUAGGAUUUUUGCACCUGCGGUUCAAGGUAAAACCAGCCUGAGUAAUUUUCUUAGGGAGCAACAACCCCAGAUGCGUGCUGCUCAACAGCACUGAGGUUUGCAUGAAUCAUUCCAUACAGGCACUUGAAUGAAGGUCAGCACAAAGCCAAGGAUACGAUUCCUCUUCAGCAGAUGGAGAUGUGCACAAUGUAAAUGAAAGUGGAGCGAGGGAUGGCUGCAGCUGUGUGCCUGGCAGGGAGCGUGGGGUGCACUGCUCUGUGAGCACUGAAGGACAGAGGCUUUUCUUCACAGAUUGCUGAGUUUGCCCCUUUUUUUCAGUGAGAACACGAGUUGCAAGUCUUAAUGCUGAGCCCCUUCACACCAAUCUCAAGCUGAUACAGAAGUGGACACUCAUGGGAAACGGGUGCUUUAUUCUUCACCUUACCCGGCAGUCAGGAGGUAGAUGGCAUUUGCUGUCAAACGUGAUUUUCAGAGCCCCACAGUGCAUUUAAAAAUAAAAAUUAAAAAAUGAAGUGAGCA